RNAcentral lists this ribosomal RNA (997 nucleotides) under uncultured bacterium. Its description in RNAcentral is "bacterial SSU rRNA". It matches the Rfam family "Bacterial small subunit ribosomal RNA", at positions 505 to 1502 of the family's 1533-position model. The record is from RNAcentral.
GUGCCAGCAGCCGCGGUAAUACGGAGGGUGCGAGCGUUAAUCGGAAUUACUGGGCGUAAAGCGCGCGUAGGCGGCUAGGUCAGUCGAAUGUGAAAGCCCCGGGCUUAACCUGGGAAUUGCACUCGAUACUGCCUGACUAGAGUAUGGGAGAGGGAAGUGGAAUUUCCGGUGUAGCGGUGAAAUGCGUAGAUAUCGGAAGGAACACCAGUGGCGAAGGCGACUUCCUGGCCCAAUACUGACGCUGAGGUGCGAAAGCGUGGGUAGCGAACAGGAUUAGAUACCCUGGUAGUCCACGCCGUAAACGAUGAGAACUAGAUGUCGGGAGGAUUUACCUCUCGGUGUCGCAGCUAACGCGUUAAGUUCUCCGCCUGGGGAGUACGCCGGCAACGGUAAAACUCAAAGGAAUUGACGGGGACCCGCACAAGCGGUGGAGCAUGUGGUUUAAUUCGAUGCAACGCGAAGAACCUUACCUGCCCUUGACAUCCUCGGAACUUACCAGAGAUGGUUUGGUGCCUUCGGGAACCGAGUGACAGGUGCUGCAUGGCUGUCGUCAGCUCGUGUCGUGAGAUGUUGGGUUAAGUCCCGCAACGAGCGCAACCCUUGUCCCUAGUUGCCAGCAUUCAGUUGGGCACUCUAGGGAGACCGCCGGUGACAAACCGGAGGAAGGUGGGGACGACGUCAAGUCAUCAUGGCCCUUAUGGGCAGGGCUACACACGUGCUACAAUGGCCAGUACAGAGGGUUGCCAACCCGCGAGGGGGAGCUAAUCCCAGAAAGCUGGUCGUAGUCCGGAUCGGAGUCUGCAACUCGACUCCGUGAAGUCGGAAUCGCUAGUAAUCGCGAAUCAGCAUUGUCGCGGUGAAUACGUUCCCGGGUCUUGUACACACCGCCCGUCACACCAUGGAAGUAGGUUGCACCAGAAGUAGGUAGCCUAACCUUCGGGAGGGCGCUUACCACGGUGUGGCUUAUGACUGGGGUGAAGUCGUAACAAGGUAACCG